UGACCUCAAAUCAGGUAGGACUACCCGCUGAACUUAAGCAUAUCAAUAAGCGGAGGAAAAGAAACUAACAAGGAUUCCCCUAGUAACUGCGAGUGAAGCGGGAAAAGCUCAAAUUUAAAAUCUGGCAGUCUUUGGCUGUCCGAGUUGUAAUCUAGAGAAGUGUUAUCCGCGCUGGACCGUGUACAAGUCUCCUGGAAUGGAGCGUCAUAGAGGGUGAGAAUCCCGUCUUUGACACGGACUACCAGGGCUUUGUGAUGCGCUCUCAAAGAGUCGAGUUGUUUGGGAAUGCAGCUCAAAAUGGGUGGUAAAUUCCAUCUAAAGCUAAAUAUUGGCGAGAGACCGAUAGCGAACAAGUACCGUGAGGGAAAGAUGAAAAGAACUUUGGAAAGAGAGUUAAACAGUACGUGAAAUUGCUGAAAGGGAAACGCUUGAAGUCAGUCGCGUUGUCCAGGGAUCAACCUUGCUUUUGCUUGGUGCACUUUCUGGUUGACGGGUCAGCAUCAAUUUUGACCAUUGGAAAAAGAUUAAGGGAAUGUGGCAUCUUUGGAUGUGUUAUAGCCCUUGGUUGCAUACGAUGGUUGGGAUUGAGGAACUCAGCACGCCGCAAGGCCGGGUUUUUAACCACGUACGUGCUUAGGAUGC
This 642-nucleotide ribosomal RNA is filed under the name Cortinarius semisanguineus. RNAcentral's name for it is "eukaryotic LSU rRNA". It matches the Rfam family "Eukaryotic large subunit ribosomal RNA", at positions 1 to 626 of the family's 3401-position model. Lineage: Eukaryota; Fungi; Basidiomycota; Agaricomycetes; Agaricales; Cortinariaceae. The record is from RNAcentral.